UCUACCUUAGGGGAGUGCAGAGAUGAA
RNAcentral lists this non-coding RNA (27 nucleotides) under Bombyx mori (domestic silkworm). Lineage: Eukaryota; Metazoa; Arthropoda; Insecta; Lepidoptera; Bombycidae. The record is from RNAcentral.